Molecule: long non-coding RNA, 2563 nt
Organism: Dreissena polymorpha
Lineage: Eukaryota; Metazoa; Mollusca; Bivalvia; Myida; Dreissenidae
Exons: 5
Source: RefSeq, a predicted model, not a curated record
CGUAAGUCGACCAUGACCUAAUUUCGACCACUUUGUUUACAUUAAGAACGCGGCCAUUUGGAUGACGUCACACGCAAGCGCUCCGAGUAUUUCGAUGAAGUGACAUAACUACGCUUAUAAACAAAAACAAAUAAAAACAAAAUGAGGAAAAAACAGGCUUAUCUCAAACAAUUUUGUAAAAUGGGCACAGUGUGACAAUAGAGCCUGCAACCAGUGGGUACACCUGUCAUUUUGUACAGAAAUUAAAGUCAUUAGAAGAGGUGCAACAUUUAUGUGCCCAUGCUGUGCUAAAGAAGAGUGAAAAUUGUUCUUAAGAAAAGUGAAAGAAACAUGUUCAAUUGUAUUUAUAAAAUAUUGAAAACAUAUUUAAGUUACAUUUUCUGUUUUAGUUCUUGUUAAAAUUGUUCAAAGAAGCGAAGUUUAAAGUUAAGUUGGCCUAAUCCAUUACCACUAGAGUGCUGUCCCUUUCCCGGAUGUGACGUAUCGACUUAAGGUAAACAACGCGCGGAGUAAAUGUUCUUGUAGUGUGUAUGAAACUAUCGGCUUUGCGUAGUAAAACAUGCUGUAAAUAAUCAUUUUUGACAUUGAUUUAACGGGAAUUAAAUAAAUCUCUGAAGAUUGUCAAGGACCCGUUUGCCCAGCUAUUUAUGGUACAUGCGUUCCUGUGCAGCGCUGAAGAAACCAGUGUCAAGCAGGUCCCUCGUGUGAUCGUCCUAACGACGAGGAGAAUGACCAAAGGCUAUGCCCUGUUCUGACAGUGGAGUGAAGGCAUUCACGAAGCUCCAGAUCCAUUCGUAUCUGUCCUCUGUUAGCAACGCAUGCAGCCAUUCAGGAUCAGGCCGUAUGAAUGUCACAAUUCGCUUCCAGAACGUUGCUGAAGGCUGUUGACCUUGGUGACCCAGGCAGAGUCCAGUAACGUCUGCAAGAAAGUGUAACCUGAAACAUGAAACAAAGUGUGCAAGAAUGUGAAACUUUAAACAAGAAACAAAGUCUGCAAGAAUGUGUAGCCUGAAACAUGAAACAAGGUCUGGAAGAAUGUGUAACCUGAAACAUGAAACAAAGUCUGCAGGAAUGUGUAACCUGAAACACGAAACAAAAAUUUAAGGUCUGCAAAAAAGCGUGACCUGAAACAUAAAACAAAGUCUGCAAGAAUAUGCAACCUGAAACAUAACAAGGUCUGCAAGAAUGUGUUACCUGAAACAUGAUACAAGGACUGCAAGAAAGUGUAAUCUGAAACAUGAAACAAAGUCUGCAAGAAUAUGCAAUCUGAAACAUAAAACAAGGUCUGCAAGAAUGUGUAACCUGAAACAUAAAAACAUAACAAGGUCUGCAAGAAUGUGUAACCUGAAACAUAAAACAAGGACUGCAAGAAUGUGUAACCUGAAACAUAAAACAACGUCUGCAAGAAUGUGUAACCUUAAACAUGAAACAAAGUUUCCAAUAAUGUCCCCCACCCCACCCUACAAUAACAAAUAUAUUAUAAGAUGAGUAAAACACGCGCUUUUUGCAACAAAUGUCAGAUAUAAAUUAAGAAGUUUUCAUGUUUAUAACACACACUUUAUUGUUAUAAAGUUCUAAGAAAUCUUGAUAUUUACACUGUAACCUUUCCCUCCUAUUAUUUUUCCGGAAACAAACUUUUUCAUUUGCUUGAUUUGUUUAGGUAACCUUUACCUUCUUUCCUCAUUUUGUCAAAGUUUUGUUCUCAUUACUAAUAGACAGACAAAAUCCAAAAGUAAAAUGACAUAUGCCCAUAUUAAUUAGAUUUUCUUCUUUUUUUUUAAAUAUUUUAUUUUAAAAUGUUUUCAAAAGAUUAAUGAUUUUUUUAUUUUCUAGUAUUUGGCAAUUUUAUGCAGAAGCAUAUAAUUUUGUCAUAAAACUGCACUUUAUAAGCAUCUAGUCACAGUUAAAUCUGAGUUAAUUGGAUUUUAAACACUCAUCUUCUAUUAAAGCUUGUGUUGAACGAUGUCAAUAGGAUUUUUUUAAUUAAUGGAAAAACAACACACAUUUGUGCCUAAAUUAAACAGAAUGUAAAGAAUGUAUUUGAUGCUCAAGUAUAGCUUUUAUGUGACAUUUUAUUCUUUAAUUGCCAAAGCUUUCUGUCAAACAAAAUUGCCAAUCCAAAAUUAAUAUAGGGUUACACUGGCGACAUCAUGAAAUGGUUGCAUAAAUAUUUACAUUAAACUGUCUCUUUUUUUUCAUUCAAAAUCAUAAAAACAAGAUAUUAAAUAGAAAGCUACAGUUUGAACAGCUUGCAUAAACCAACAUGCAAAUGAAUAGUGGCCCAUGAGUAAUAAAAUAGCACUGUUCCCAAAUACAGAUCCAUUUUACCACAAGUUUUGUUUUAAAACCAUAAAUAUUUGUUUAAUGCUUUAAAAACAAUUCAUCUGAAUGUGAGCAUAAAUGGUCAAGAAGUUAUUUUCUUUUCAGAAACAUUAUCUCAGAUUUAAAUGCUUUUAGCAGGUGGACACUUUCUAUUGUAAACAUGAGGGCCAUAUAUUUUUAAUGACCUUAAAGGGACCUUUUAACGUUUUGAUAAAUUGACAAAAUUGACAAAAAUGUUUCA